Molecule: ribosomal RNA, 253 nt
Filed under: uncultured bacterium
Lineage: Bacteria
Description: partial 16S ribosomal RNA
Rfam family: Bacterial small subunit ribosomal RNA
Source: RNAcentral
UACGUAGGGUCCGAGCGUUGUCCGGAAUUACUGGGCGUAAAGCGCACGUAGGCGGUUCGUUAUGUCGGAUGUGAAAGCCCUUGGCUUAACCGAGGAAGUGCAUCCGAAACUGGCGAGCUAGAGUACUAAAGAGGAUCGCGGAAUUCCCGGUGUAGAGGUGAAAUUCGUAGAUAUCGGGAGGAACACCGAUGGCGAAGGCAAUCCCCUGGGCCUGCACUGACGCUCAUGCACGAAAGCGUGGGGAGCAAACAGG